GAUGAACGCUAGCGGCAGGCCUAAUACAUGCAAGUCGAACGAUACCAGAGAGCUUGCUUUCUGGGAAAGUGGCGCACGGGUGCGUAACGCGUAUGCAACCUACCUUAAUCAGGGGGAUAGCCUCUCGAAAGAGAGAUUAACACCGCAUAACAUCAUUUUACGGCAUCGUAGAAUGAUCAAAUAUUUAUAGGAUUAAGAUGGGCAUGCGUGACAUUAGCUAGUUGGUGAGGUAACGGCUCACCAAGGCUACGAUGUCUAGGGGAUCUGAGAGGAUGACCCCCCACCCUGGUACUGCGACCCGGACCAGACUACUACGGGAGGCAGCAGUAAGGAAUAUUGGUCAAUGGAGGCAACUCUGAACCAGCCAUGCCGCGUGCAGGAAGACGGCCCUAUGGGUUGUAAACUGCUUUUAUACGGGAAUAAACCUCUCUACGUGUAGGGAGUUGAAUGUACUGUAAGAAUAAGGAUCGGCUAACUCCGUGCCAGCCGCCGCGGUAA
RNAcentral lists this ribosomal RNA (498 nucleotides) under uncultured bacterium. RNAcentral's name for it is "partial 16S ribosomal RNA". It matches the Rfam family "Bacterial small subunit ribosomal RNA", at positions 28 to 523 of the family's 1533-position model. The record is from RNAcentral.